GCACACCCAGAAGCGCACCGUCGCUCUUCAGGUUUGCGCUUCGGGUUUCAGAGUGCGCUGCGUGCUCCAGGACUUUGCGUGAGAGGAAAUCGUGACAAUCAUGAAGCUUCAGCAGCUUUACUGAAAUGUGCAGUCUGAUGAUAAAAACCACAGAUGACUUUGAAGUGUUUGGUUUAUAAUCCAAUUAAAGUUGACUUCCUUUUCCUUAUGGUGGCACGGACACACAGCGGGCAGUGUUUCUGCCUCACCACGAGUGGAGAAUAUUUGGGAAUUUGUACUACAUUUCUAUACUUAAGUAUUAUUUGGGGUAUUUAUACUUGAGUAAUGAUUGGGUAUUCCUGAAAUAUUAUGGAAUAAUGUAUUACUAGUGAAGAGGAUGAAGCUAGACACAGACUUAGCGAUGCUGCUCUUGGACAGGUGUGUAAAUGCUUUACAUAAGAAUUCAUGUAGACAGUCGAUGUACACUCCACAGUUCUUGUGCGUGUGUGUUGACGAGAGAGUCAGCUGCCGGGAUGCCCAUGGGAACCCAUUGGGGAAAGUGCAGUACAGGGGUAUGGAUGUGAUAGCUGAUGAAGUACUGGAGAUCUCCUGCAGGAGAAAAAAGAAGUGCAGAUCUGGGUUUAUAAGGUGGAGUUUCAUGUAAAUGAGGGGGGCUUUAGCGUCAUCAUUGGUCCAUUACAGCUCCUCUUCUAGCCAAUCAAUCGAAGAGGGGAGGUGACGUCACUCCACUGCGACUCGUGGCUGUGUGUUGACAGGUGAAGAAAGAUGGAUGACCGUCAGGCAGCAAAUCCCGGACAAUUACAGGCAGUGCUUUUAGAGAGGCUUUUAUCACGACUACAGGAAGCCAUGCAGCGCGUGCCUCUGGACCUGGAUUAUUUAUAUUUUUUCUGCACAAAUAGCAUGAUAUUGAUUAGUUCACACACAAAUCAUGAACAUCUGCCUCAAGAGGUAGUGCAAUGUCUUUCAAACCUGUGUUCUGUUCUUUGUAAUCGACUUUCCUCAUCAGUUGUGAAUGAAAUGGCUGGACCAACGGGACGUCCCAAACUCGGUGUGUCUGAACAGCAACUUAGACAUUUGAUUGAAAUUGGACUGAGUGUACACUUCAUUUCAAAACUGCUUGGCAUGUCAUCACGAACAGUUGAACGGAGAAUGCAAGAGUUUGGCAUUACAGUGAGGGUUCCCAUCGUCAUUUUUCCUUCUCGCCUUUACUGGAGCGGCUGGAUUUGGAUCUGAACACUCACUAUCAGCUCGCGCAUCUCACUGCUGACAUCACGGUGCCACUUGCUACUUGACGUUCUUCGCACCCCCUCUGAAAAUGGAAAUGCGGGGUCCCCCCCCCCAUCUCAGAUACAGAAUCUGCCCCGCGAAUGUGUGUAUUGACGCCUCUACACAAACAGACCCUAUGCCUGACCCUCCCUCCAGCUUUCAGUCUGAGGAUGAUGUCACCUUCUCUGAUCUGGGCUCUGACCAUUCUUCCCUCUUCUCACCUGCCAGUCCCGAGUACUCUCCUCCUUACACCUCGGUCGGCUAUCCCACGUUCCCAGGACCCCCCUUUUAUCACCCGUUUUCUCCCUACCGCUCCCCUCAGGAUUAUACUCCCACCAGUCCUGUGAAUUUUCAAAAUUACAUGCUGUUCAUACUUAUUUUGUGAACCUCAAUAAACCUACAU
Ictalurus punctatus (channel catfish) is the source of this 1669-nucleotide long non-coding RNA. RefSeq lists it as uncharacterized. The transcript has 4 exons. The record is from RefSeq and is a predicted model, not a curated record. Lineage: Eukaryota; Metazoa; Chordata; Actinopteri; Siluriformes; Ictaluridae.